GUCCCUGUGGCGCAAUGAGUAGCGCGUUGGACUUCUAAUCCAAAAGUCGUGGGUUCGAAUCCCACCUAGGAAA
Molecule: transfer RNA, 73 nt
Filed under: Trichonephila clavata
Lineage: Eukaryota; Metazoa; Arthropoda; Arachnida; Araneae; Nephilidae
Rfam family: tRNA
About the family: Transfer RNA (tRNA) molecules are approximately 80 nucleotides in length. Their secondary structure includes four short double-helical elements and three loops (D, anti-codon, and T loops).
Source: Rfam by way of RNAcentral